Brachypodium distachyon (stiff brome) is the source of this 936-nucleotide long non-coding RNA. RefSeq lists it as uncharacterized. Lineage: Eukaryota; Viridiplantae; Streptophyta; Magnoliopsida; Poales; Poaceae. The transcript has 2 exons. The record is from RefSeq and is a predicted model, not a curated record.
UCCACAGACAGGCGGUGUGGGACAAAGAAAAAACUACAUGGACCUCUGCACGUCCUGAUAAGUAUACAAAUUAGGAGCACGACAGCUAGUGGAAUUUGUUGGGGCCUCAUUGGCUCAACCUCAUGACUUAGCUGCAUUGGCCCUACACAGGGAUUAUGCCAUCACAAAACUCUUUAAAAAAAAAAGAUAUGCCAUCACAAAACUACCGUCUACCGUUGUCAUACGCGCUCCGAGGCAUUUCUGGCUUCUGGCCGUGUUAGAGCAACUCCAGGAGAUCCCCUGUAAAGCCCCCAAUAGCUAAAUUUAGGGGAUUUGGGCCUAAAACCGGCCUCCAGCGGAACCCCCAGCCCAUCCCCCAUACCGCCGAGCGCCCCAAUCCAGGUCGGGAUCCCCCAUAUGGAGGAUCGAGCUCGGGAUCCCCCAUCCCUCAACCGCCGACGCUGAAGCCUCCCUCCCGCCGAAUCCUCCUCUCCGCCCAGGAAUGGGAUUUGGGGAAUCUGCCGAAGAGAGUUGAGAUUUGGAGGGAUGAGAUUUAGGGAAUCUCUCGGAGUCGCUCUUAUCGUCUUCAUGGGCCAAGAUCGCGUACGGAGGCCAAGCCAUUGUGUGUGUGAGAGAGAGACACACAUUCAGACAUACAAAAAAUGUCGAAUCGUCGAUCUUACGUACCCAUUGGAGAUCAACGGUUGAUAUUUAGGAGGUACCCGUACCUCUCGGUACCUUCCAAUACGGUAGAAAAGCUUGCAUUAGUACUUAUUUUUAUCGGUUUUGCUAUAUCAAAGUUGCUUGAUUUUAGUUAGGAAUAAGUUGAUCGCUCAGCUGUUUGAUCUGUUUUGUGUUUUAAGAUUCGAAACAAACGAUAGAUGGAUUGAGUUUGGAUGACGUCCAACAAAUCCAACAGUUUAAUUAAAUCCGAAACUUGAGUCCUUUUAUUUUAAA